Molecule: ribosomal RNA, 465 nt
Filed under: uncultured bacterium
Lineage: Bacteria
Description: partial 16S ribosomal RNA
Rfam family: Bacterial small subunit ribosomal RNA
Source: RNAcentral
GACGAACGCUGGCGGCGUGCUUAACACAUGCAAGUCGUACGGUAAGGCCCUUUCGGGGGUACACGAGUGGCGAACGGGUGAGUAACACGUGAGUAACCUGCCCACAACUUUGGGAUAACGCUAGGAAACUGGUGCUAAUACUGGAUAUGUGCCCCUGCUGCAUGGUGGGGGUUGGAAAGCUCCGGCGGUUGUGGAUGGACUCGCGGCCUAUCAGCUUGUUGGUGGGGUAGUGGCCUACCAAGGCGGCGACGGGUAGCCGGCCUGAGAGGGUGACCGGCCACAUUGGGACUGAGAUACGGCCCAGACUCCUACGGGAGGCAGCAGUGGGGAAUAUUGCACAAUGGGCGCAAGCCUGAUGCAGCAACGCCGCGUGCGGGAUAACGGCCUUCGGGUUGUAAACCGCUUUCAGCAGGGACGAAGCUUUUUGUGACGGUACCUGCAGAAGAAGCACCGGCUAACUACGUG